RNAcentral lists this ribosomal RNA (1480 nucleotides) under Candidatus Roizmanbacteria bacterium RIFCSPHIGHO2_02_FULL_43_11. RNAcentral describes it as "16S ribosomal RNA". It matches the Rfam family "Bacterial small subunit ribosomal RNA". Lineage: Bacteria; Candidatus Roizmaniibacteriota. The record is from RNAcentral.
UAAGAGUUUGAUCCUGGCUCAGGAUGAACGCUAGCGGCGUGUUUAAGAUAUGCAAGUCGAGCGUCUCUUACAUAAAGCUUGCUUUGUGUAAGGGUAGCGGCGGACGGCUGAGUAACACGUAGGAACCUACCCUAUGGUGGGGUAUAGCCUCGGGAAACCGAGGGUAAUCCCCCAUAUCCAGCUCCUUUUUUGUUUUAUAGGUUUUUCCAGGCUGCCCUGACAGGCAGUUGCGGAAUUAUCUCUAUAGACCAAAAAUGGAGUUGGAAAGGGCUUAACUGCUCGCCAAAGGAGGGGCCUGCGGCCUAUCAGGUAGUUGGUGGGGUAAAAGCCUACCAAGCCUAUGACGGGUAGCUGACCUUAUGAGGGUGAUCAGCCAGAGGAGGACUGAGACACGGCCUCCACACCUACGGGUGGCAGCAAUCAAGAAUCGUUGGCAAUGGGCGAAAGCCUGACCACGCGACGCCGCGUGUAGGAAGACGCCUUUCGGGGUGUAAACUACUGUGGUAGGGGAAAAAAUCCAGCGCCGUAUAUUUGAAAACUUUUUCGAGUAUAGAGCGCUGGACUGAUGGUACCCUACUAGAAAGUGGCCGCUAACUUCGUGCCAGAAGCGUCGGUGAUACGAGGGCCACAAGCGUUAUCCGGUGUGACUGGGCGUAAAGGGUUCGUAGGCGGUNNNNNNNNNNNNNNNNNNNNNNNNNNNNNNNNNNNNNNNNNNGAAGGCAGAUUACUGGAAGCUAACUGACGCUGAGGAACGAAAGCUAGGGGAGCAAACCGGAUUAGAGACCCGGGUAGUCCUAGCUGUAAACGAUGCUCGCUAGUUGCAUGUGCUGUUUAUUUUAGCAGCACGUGUGGCGAAGCUAACGCGUUAAGCGAGCCGCCUGGGGAGUACGGCCGCAAGGCUGAAACUCAAAGGAAUUGGCGGGGAGACACACAACUAGUGGAUCAUGUGGUUUAAUUCGAGACAAACCGAAGCACCUCACCAAGGUUUGACAUCCAGCUGCAGGCUGGUGGAAACACCGGCGGCUUUCGAAGGUGCUGGACAGCUGCUGCAUGGCUGUCGUCAGUUCGUUCCGUGAGGAGUGCCCUUAAGUGGGACAACGAACGUAACCCUUGCCCCAUGUUAGAUAUGUCAUGGGGAACUGCCCAGCCGAUGGUUGGGAGGAAGGAGAGGCAGACGUCAAGUCAGCAUGGCGCUUAUACCUUGGGCGACACACAUGAUACAAUGAGAUGGACAAAGGGUUGCCAAGCGGUAACGUGGAGCUAAUCCCAUAAACCAUCUCUCAGUAGGGAUAGAGGUCUGCAACUCGACCUCUUGAACGCGGAAUUAGUAGUAAUCGCGGAUCAGCCAAGCCGCGGUGAAUACGUUCUUGUCUCUUGCACACACUGCCCGUCAAGCCAACAAAGUUGGGAGUGCCCGAAGGCUUACAGUUGUAGGACGAGGGUAAGCUCAGCGAUGGGGACUAAGUCGUAAAAAAGUUGC